AACGAACGCUGGCGGCAUGCCUAACACAUGCAAGUCGAACGAGACCUUCGGGUCUAGUUGCGCACGGGUGCGUAACGCGUGGGAACCUGCCCUUAGGUUCGGAAUAACUCCCCGAAAGGGGUGCUAAUACCGGAUAAUGUCUUCGGACCAAAGAUUUAUCGCCUUUGGAUGGGCCCGCGUUGGAUUAGCUAGUUGGUAGGGUAAAAGCCUACCAAGGCGACGAUCCAUAGCUGGUCUGAGAGGAUGAUCAGCCACACUGGGACCGAGACACGGCCCAGACUCCUACGGGAGGCAGCAGUGGGGAAUAUUGGACAAUGGGCGAAAGCCUGAUCCAGCAAUGCCGCGUGAGUGAUGAAGGCCUUAGGGUUGUAAAGCUCUUUUAACCGGGAUGAUAAUGACAGUACCGGGAGAAUAAGCUCCGGCUAACUCCGUG
RNAcentral lists this ribosomal RNA (433 nucleotides) under uncultured bacterium. RNAcentral's name for it is "partial 16S ribosomal RNA". It matches the Rfam family "Bacterial small subunit ribosomal RNA", at positions 29 to 507 of the family's 1533-position model. The record is from RNAcentral.